This 250-nucleotide ribosomal RNA is filed under the name uncultured bacterium. Its description in RNAcentral is "partial 16S ribosomal RNA". It matches the Rfam family "Bacterial small subunit ribosomal RNA", at positions 779 to 1032 of the family's 1533-position model. The record is from RNAcentral.
UAGAUACCCUGGUAGUCCGCACAGUAAACGAUGGAUGCUCGCUGUUGGCUUUUAUAGUCAGUGGCUUAGCGAAAGCGUUAAGCAUCCCACCUGGGGAGUACGCCGGCAACGGUGAAACUCAAAGGAAUUGACGGGGGCCCGCACAAGCGGAGGAACAUGUGGUUUAAUUCGAUGAUACGCGAGGAACCUUACCCGGGCUUGAACUGCAGGAGAACGAUUCAGAGAUGAUGAGGUCCUUCGGGACUCCUGU